Molecule: ribosomal RNA, 292 nt
Filed under: uncultured bacterium
Lineage: Bacteria
Description: partial 16S ribosomal RNA
Source: RNAcentral
GGACUACCGGGGUAUCUAAUCCUGUUUGCUCCCCACGCUUUCGCGCCUCAGCGUCAGGUAUGAGCCAAGAAGCCGCUUUCGCCACUGGUGUUCCUCCCGAGAUCUACGCAUUUUACCGCUACUCCGGGAAUUCCACUUCUCUCUCUCACCCUCUAGUACGCCAGUUUUCAUUGCGGCCCCCCAGUUAGGCUGGAGGAUUUAACAACAAACUUAACAUACCGCCUACGCGCCCUUUACGCCCAAUAAUUCCGAAUAACGCUUGCACCUCUCGUAUUACCGCGGCUGCUGGCAC